This 425-nucleotide unclassified non-coding RNA is filed under the name Hevea brasiliensis (rubber tree). Lineage: Eukaryota; Viridiplantae; Streptophyta; Magnoliopsida; Malpighiales; Euphorbiaceae. The record is from RNAcentral.
GAAAAUGGAGGGGAAAUUAGGUGUGAAAUUUGUUAUUUUGUAGUCUUCCUCAAAAUUUUCAAAAAACGAUACCCUUUCGAUAAAAAGCGACAGGGCGCGUACUUGCACGCGGAGGUUCUGCUUGUUAAUAUGAUUACUUCUGAUUUGUGUGGUGUUGAUAUGGCGCUACUAUUUCUAAAUUUAAAAUAUAGCAACAAAAUAAUCUUUAGAUGUGAUAAAAAAUAAUAAUUUGAAAAAAAUAUAUAUUUUUUGAGACCUCCAGUGAAUAAUUUAAAUAAUUGUUGAUCCAAUUUAAUGUUACCAGCGGACGACAGAAGAGUGUGGUGGCGUGAGUGUGGCGCGUGCAACAAAUGAGGGCCAGAAGCUGGAGUUGAGGUUGGGGUGCGCAAUGUGCAUAGCGGGAGCAAGACAAGAGUGGGCGCCGG